GUGGGGAAUAUUGGACAAUGGGCGAAAGCCUGAUCCAGCCAUGCCGCGUGUGUGAAGAAGGUCUUCGGAUUGUAAAGCACUUUAAGUUGGGAGGAAGGGUAGUAACCUAAUACGUUGCUACUUUGACGUUACCGACAGAAUAAGCACCGGCUAACUUCGUGCCAGCAGCCGCGGUAAUACGAAGGGUGCAAGCGUUAAUCGGAAUUACUGGGCGUAAAGCGCGCGUAGGUGGUUCAGUAAGUUGGAAGUUAAAUCCCCGGGCUCAACCUGGGAACUGCUUUCAAAACUGCUGAGCUAGAGUACGGUAGAGGGUGGUGGAAUUUCCUGUGUAGCGGUGAAAUGCGUAGAUAUAGGAAGGAACACCAGUGGCGAAGGCGACCACCUGGACUGAUACUGACACUGGGGUGCGAAAGCGUGGGGAGCAAACAGGAUUAGAUACCCGAGUAGUCC
This 450-nucleotide ribosomal RNA is filed under the name uncultured bacterium. Its description in RNAcentral is "partial 16S ribosomal RNA". It matches the Rfam family "Bacterial small subunit ribosomal RNA", at positions 354 to 796 of the family's 1533-position model. The record is from RNAcentral.